This is a long non-coding RNA of Herpailurus yagouaroundi (jaguarundi), 1322 nucleotides long. RefSeq lists it as uncharacterized. NCBI's taxonomy places the organism in Eukaryota, Metazoa, Chordata, Mammalia, Carnivora, Felidae. The transcript has 4 exons. The record is from RefSeq and is a predicted model, not a curated record.
UGCCGGCCUGGUUAGACAGGCAUUUAAGGCUUCCUCAUGUUAUAUCAGGGGCAAGGACUUGCGUUUCUGGAGUGGCUUCAGCAUGAGCAGUCCAUAAAGAGGCUUCAUCCAUCUUGAAAAAGGGGGCUGGUGACCGCUCACUCAGAGUCAUUCUCUGGAAUUUUUGGUUCACUGGAAGAUAUCCUGGGGGUCUCCACCACGCCAUGGCACAGCUUCACCAACUGAGAGGGGUUCCACAGAAGUCCAGAAUCUGAAAGAACACAAGCAUUAUCCUCUACCCCAGAGCUUGCCAAUUUUGAUGGUAAAGAUUAUGGGAGGCUCUGGCUUCAAAAAGAGGAUAACAUUCCUGAGAAACUGUUGGGAAAAUGAAUAAAGUUUUACACCAUAAGAUGGCCGACGGGACUAAAACAAGCUCUGGUCUCUAGCUUGGAGACCCCUCUUCCGGGUUCUUCUUGCCCUGUUUGUGGAGCGGGCGCGCGCGUGCCAAAACCCUAUGGAAGCUGACAACUAUAAAUUACCCUUCCCACUUGCAUUCAGCGCUCAGAUCUUUGGAGAAACGGUCUCCUCUGAGCCCACCAGUGUGAAAUAAGCCUCUGAUCCACCGAGAUCUCCACCUCCGAGUGCCGCUUGGUUUUUCCGCCAGCGUUCCAUCCUGGUUCCCUAACAUAUUUGGUUCCCUGAUUGGGAAACCCAACUGCGCCGGCCCAUUGUUGCCACUGGUUUGGGAAAAUGACGAGGCGGUGAUGGAAUGAGGAUUCGCAAGGGGGAAGGCGCACCCUGCCUGAAUUUCAGCAGUCUCCCACUUGGUCGCCCCGGGCCAACCCUGCUCCGCCAUUCCUGCCGGACUGGAGGAGACUUGGCAGGUGAGGACCUGGACCCGACGUCGGAACCGGUCACCAUCGGAAAUACUGGUUAUUUUACCAAGGCUUUGACUGGAAUGUCAUAUUUGAGAGUGACAUUCAUAGACUCAGAUGUGACCAGACAGCUUUGAGGAACUAAGGUUGGCUUUAUGAAACACGGAGCCAUAAAGCCCCUUGGAAAUGUUGGCCUGAUACCUUGCUUACAGAGUUCCCAGCAGCCUCACCAGGCUCCACAUCCAGGGCAAACCCCAGUGCUGGUCUUGAACUCACAACCCAGAGGUCAACACCUGAGAUGAGAUAAAGAGUUGGACACUUGGACACUUAACCCAUGCAGCCACCCAGGCCCACCUAAAGCAUAAUUUUAAAUGAUCAAUUAUAAAAACUUGGAAGGUUGGAAUUAAGGUUCUUUCAUGGGAAAGAACCAUAUCUUUUCAGAUUUAACAUCUGAAUUUACCACACCAC